CUUNNNCGAGAGUAGUACUAGGAUGGGUGACCCCCUGGGAAGUCCUCGUGUUGCACCCCCCCCCUUUUUUUUGCAUNUUUUUCGCCUUUUUGGGGGAANGUGGCGAAAGGAAACGCGCGCGUACGANAGAACGCGGNUNACUNAANGNGCACGCGCGANGUAAAAACUCACAACGCGCGGCACCGACACGUGGGAACGCAGGCACAAAAUCGGACAAUCGCAGCGGUUGGGAAUAUAGGAGUAAAAA
Molecule: unclassified non-coding RNA, 247 nt
Filed under: Polyscias microbotrys
Lineage: Eukaryota; Viridiplantae; Streptophyta; Magnoliopsida; Apiales; Araliaceae
Source: RNAcentral